This 314-nucleotide unclassified non-coding RNA is filed under the name fungal sp. RNAcentral's name for it is "partial internal transcribed spacer region". The record is from RNAcentral. Lineage: Eukaryota; Fungi.
AAGGCCGAAAGCACCCAAGCCAGUUUUUCGCUGAGCAGGACUUUGGUCAUGUCGCUGACCGUGGCUGGCUUUCGCGCGACAGGUGAGUCUCGUGCUACAGCGAAGAAGAUGACCGCCCAAACAAGGGUUAUGACCGCGACACCAUAGAAAACGAUAUUGCGUCCGUAUGCUGCUCCGAUCAGGGGUCCAAGAAAGACAGCAGCUGAGUGUCCCAUGUUCCCGAGGCCGUAGACGCCGAGUGCAGUGCCUUGCUUUUCCGGUCCAAACCAGCGCGAGACGAAGCCAACGCCAACAGCGAAGGAUGAUCCUGCGAG